Molecule: ribosomal RNA, 524 nt
Filed under: uncultured bacterium
Lineage: Bacteria
Description: partial 16S ribosomal RNA
Rfam family: Bacterial small subunit ribosomal RNA
Source: RNAcentral
GACGAACGCUGGCGGCGUGCCUAAUACAUGCAAGUCGAACGAAGCUGUUUUAACUGGUGCUUGCACCGACUUAAACAACUGAGUGGCGAACGGGUGAGUAACACGUGGGUAACCUGCCCCAAAGCGGGGGAUAACAUUUGGAAACAGAUGCUAAUACCGCAUAAUCACAGAAACCACAUGGUUUCUGUGUCAAAGAUGGUUUCGGCUAUCACUUUGGGAUGGACCCGCGGCGUAUUAGCUAGUUGGUAAGGUAAUGGCUUACCAAGGCAAUGAUACGUAGCGGAACUGAGAGGUUGAUCGGCCAAAUGGGGACUGAGCCACGGCCCAAACUCCUACGGGAGGCAGCAGGAGGGAAUCUUCCACAAUGGACGAAAGUCUGAUGGAGCAACGCCGCGUGAGUGAAGAAGGUUUUCGGAUCGUAAAACUCUGUUGUCAGAGAAGAACGUGUGCGAGAGUAACUGUUCGUGCAGUGACGGUAUCUGGCCAGAAAGCCACGGCUAACUACGUGCCAGCCGCCGCCGUAA